Molecule: long non-coding RNA, 740 nt
Organism: Homo sapiens (human)
Lineage: Eukaryota; Metazoa; Chordata; Mammalia; Primates; Hominidae
Product: long intergenic non-protein coding RNA 272
Source: Ensembl
CUGAAAACUGGAACAGGGAUGUCGACAGUCAGAGGAGGAGAAGGGCAGAAGUGUGCACUAGAACACCAGAUGUUUGAGGCUGAAAAUGAUAUGGAUGCAGAAUAAAUAGCCCCAAAAUAACCUUCUAUCUGUGGUGUCCCGUCCCCCUCCUUGGCCAGGCAUCAAAGCUACAUGUUGUUCAUUUAAAACAUGAACAUCCUGAUCCCAGGACUUUGAAGAUAGGAAUCACCCAUCCCAAACCAGACACACUGCCCACAGUAGCUGAGAAAGAAGCCAAAGGUGGUGAAUGAUUAGCAGAACUGCAAGACAGCUCCAGAAUCUAAACACAGAGUACUGGGAAAGCUGUUUUGUGGGGGAAACUCAGACUGACCAAAAGAGCCGAGGAGGUCCUUUGUGGCCUGUCUGCUCCAUGGGAAUAGCUCCAGGAGAGGGAAGACCAGCUGCCUUCAUCAGGAACUCACAGGUGGCAUUUCUAUGGGGAAUCAGCACAAGGGAAAAGGAGACAUUUCAUUUCCAAGUUAUGGUGGCAUCGCAAUUACACCAUUAUUGCAUGGACUGAAGUGCAAGUGGAGGACAAGGGGUUGGGAGAGGAAGUGGCUUUGGCAAAUUGUCCUUAAGCUGGUAAGAAGCAGAUCUCCAAGACUUUCUACUGGGAUAUGGAGUUUUGGGGCAAAAAGGAGAGUGGAGAUCAACACUAAUAUUUAUUUAUUCAUUUUUAAAUAAUACACUUUCAGAUAGAA